Molecule: unclassified non-coding RNA, 2617 nt
Filed under: Dimorphilus gyrociliatus
Lineage: Eukaryota; Metazoa; Annelida; Polychaeta; Dinophilidae
Description: dgyrCDS2271
Source: RNAcentral
ACGUGAGACUCUGAGCCAUUCAAAAAUGUUAAUUCAUUGUUAGGAGAGUUUAAGAUUUACCUUUUAAUAAUUUCUCUGUUAUACCUGCUUUUUAAGUGUGACUUACGGACUGCGUGAGGUUUGUCCUUGUGUCUUUUAUUUCAGUGUUAUUAAAACCGUUUUCUCACUAAUAAAAUGAAGCAUUUGUUUUGAGCGAUAUUACAGGCUAUUAUCAUUGCAGGUUCAGGGCAUGUCUUACAAAAGUGAAUCUGCUAACCGAAAUUCAAACUGUGAUAAGACAUUUAAUCUACGGAUUAAACUAGGUAAUAACUUUAGGAACAAUGAAUGUGUCAGUGGGAAAGGUCUUUCUGAAGAAUCCGCAUCUGAGGCUGAAAGUGAAGAAAACAGAAUAAACAAUUUAACUUUGCCUAUGGGACAACGUAAAACACAUCGAACAUUUCAAAGCAAAGCCAACAAAAGUGCAACAGAUAUUGAUGAGGAUGCUUUAUUAGUUUCGCGUGAGAAAUCUUUAAUAAAGGACCUAAACUAUUGCAGAGUAUGCAAGUACAAACUGUCAGGUCGGAAACAUGACAAUCAUUUCCAAACACAUCGUCACAAGAUUCUUGAGCAUUUUUACGAUCUUUGUGUCGAUAAAGGGAUCGAUUGGGGUGACAUGAAUGCGAGAUCUUUCACUUGUGCCCUCCAUCCUGAUAGAUUUAUAUCCAGUGUUGAAAUUAUGGUGAAACAUUGCAACCGACAGCACCCAGAUAUUGUAAAAUCUUUAAAUUUACCAAUAUCCAAUAUCUGGAAGACACGCCUUGAGAAUCAGUUAGGAAAAGACGUUGUGGAAACAGAAUUGACUAAUUAUACAGAAGAAAAUACAAACGUCAGAGCCGAAGAACCAGAAAAAUUGAAUCUAAAAUUGAAACCUACUAAUUCACCGCACCAGAUAUUUGCUUGUUCCAAGUGUUCUUACCGAAAUUUUCAAAGAAUAUCUGUGCUAAAGCACAUAAUACAAAAACACAAUUUAACGGCAGGAAUGGCUGGAAAGUUUAUUAUAAAAACAUCUAAAAUUAUAAAAUCCAUGCCCAAUAAGAAUAGUGGCCCAAAGAGGCAAUCAGAAGCUCGAACUUUAAAUACAGAUGAACUUGAUAAAUAUAGAGUAAAGGGAAAUAUGAGCGUUAAAUGCAUGCAAGUAAUGGACGCAACUCUUCAACAUUAUAGCCAAUUCCAACCGAAAAAUUUACAAUACGUUUCAAACAGGUUAAGAGAGGAAUUUAUUCGAUUCGCUAAAAAUCAGAAAAAACACAAUGAAAAUGGAUUUUAUUACUGUCCAACUUGCAAGCAUAAAUAUCCAACGGUGAAAUCAGGAAAACAACAUAUCUUACGCAUAGCACAUUCAAAAAAUUUCUUCUCAGAAGAAUAUAGAACCAGAUAUAAAAUUUUGGAAGCAUAUGCUAAUUAUAACGAAAACAAUGAGUUUAUAGGUAUGGUUGGAAGUGAUGUGUCCAAUAAAUCCCGCUCUAGUAAAGAGCGUAGCGUGAGCAGCGUUGAGGAUGCAAUUGAAGGAGAAAAAAGAAAAGUAGUAAAAGAAAAAAUUGUAAAGCCGAAGGCAAUAAAGCGGGUGCUCCCGACGAAUUCUACGCCAAUUCCUACUAAAGUUGCUACUAAAGAUUGGGAUAGAAUUAAUACUCCAGAUUCCUUAAAUUUAGGUUUGUAUAACUUGUCUUUUUCUGAAAGUUUUUAAAUUUCCUUUGUACGAAAAAUUAGUUGAAUUAACAAUUUCUAAUAGCUGCACUACCUCUCGAACGAAAAUGGAUGGAAGCGAUCAGCGAUAUUUCAAACCUUGCAUUAGCCGAUAUUGGCCUAGUUCCACCUGACGACCGUAAUCGUCUCUUCCGUUGCUUAGAUUAUAUCCAUUCAUUAUCAAUGAAGUAUAAGUCUAAACCCCAGCAAAGCGGAAUUUUGAGUUUACUACAACCAUCUACGAUAAGCUAUCCUUCAAUGCAAACUGUGUUUCCCUCAUGCGAAAGUGAAACCUUUAAAAGGCCAGGCAGUCCGAGCCGAGUAAAAGUUACGGAUCGGGGUCUUAGAAGGUUACGGAGAAGUCCAUCGGCUACUUCCUCUCCUAUGUUAGAUGAUGAAUCUAAUUUUACUUCAAAUGGCCUGCUCAACAACUUUGAUACCACAUUUGAUUUAGAAGAAGAACUACUUCGUAUUGAUAACUCUCCGUCAGCAAGAUUAGUUCCUGGCUCUAAUGGCAUACCAGUCGCACAGAAAAUAAAAACUGAGGGUGAUUGGUAACUUUUUCCGUAAUAUAUUGAAAUAUUAUGGGAAAUGUAUCUAUCUAUUAUGCACUUUCGAAUGUUUAGUAAAGUUUAUAUAACACCUUACUUAUUUCUUUGGCAUGACGAUCGAUUAUUUCAGAAAUUUUUAACGCGAUUCUUUCAUGUUCUGUUAUCCUCUUUUCAGUAUAUAUAUGUAAGUUUACUUUAUAUAUAUAUAUCAUACAUAUGUACACUCGGAUAAAUUGUGUUAUAAGAGUGAUUUAGUUUGUACAAUAUAUUUUAUACAAUGUUUGCUACUGGCUGCUGACCUAGGUUUCUCAAAAACGGGCAGUUAUCAUUUAAAGUCAGGC